GCAAGUCGAGGGGUAACAGGAGGGAGCUUGCACUUUUGCUGACGACCGGCGCACGGGUGCGUAACGCGUAUAGAACCUACCUUAUAGUAAGGGAUAGCCCAGAGAAAUUUGGAUUAAUACCUUAUAGUAUAUUAUUUCGGCAUCGUUAUAAUAUUAAAGAUUUAUUGCUAUAAGAUGGCUAUGCGUUCUAUUAGUUAGUUGGUGAGGUAACGGCUUACCAAGACAUCGAUGGAUAGGGGCCCUGAGAGGGGGAUC
This 255-nucleotide ribosomal RNA is filed under the name uncultured bacterium. Its description in RNAcentral is "partial 16S ribosomal RNA". It matches the Rfam family "Bacterial small subunit ribosomal RNA", at positions 57 to 305 of the family's 1533-position model. The record is from RNAcentral.